GCUAGCAAUGCACGUCUUUGGUUCAGCCGGCUAGUCUUGUCGAGUUGCCGUUGUGUGGAUCCGAAUGGACUGCCUGCGGUAACGGCGGUGGGCGAGCUAUGGUGCACUCCAAGGGCGUGCGCGUCAGCGUCGGUUCUCGACGGACGACAAGGUACGUGGGAAAGGUAGCUCGGUCUUCGGACGGAGUGUUACAGACCCGUGUGCUGGGUUCGUUGUGGGACCGAGGAGAGAGAUGAUCGCUGCGGCACCUGCCUCUCGGGGCUAGCCAGCUGUCGUCAGGUGUGCGCCAGGUGCCGAGGACUGCACGCAGUGCUCGGUGUUGAGGUGUGAUCUGGUGGUGGUGUGGGUAUAGAGGGGCCUAGGACGCUGGCGUCCAAAUGGCCGUGCGCGACCCGUCUUGAAACACGGACCAAGGAGUCUAACAUGUGCGCGAGUCUUAGGGUGUGCAAGCCCUCGGGCGCAAUGAAAGUGAAGGUUCGGCGCUAGUCGAGCUGAGGUGAGAGCCGCUGCUGGCCUGUUGCCACGGUGGCGCAUCAUCGGCCGGUCCAUCCUGCUCUCAGGGGGAUCCGAGCAAGAGCGUAUUUGUUGGGACCCGAAAGAUGGUGAACUAUGCCUGAAUAGGGUGAAGCCAGAGGAAACUCUGGUGGAGGCUCGUAGCGAUUCUGACGUGCAAAUCGAUCGUCAAAUUUGGGUAUAGGGGCGAAAGACUAAUCGAACCAUCUAGUAGCUGGUUCCCUCCGAAGUUUCCCUCAGGAUAGCUGGAACUCGUAAACACAGUUUUAUCAGGUAAAGCGAAUGAUUAGAGGUCUUGGGGGUGAAACACCCUCAACCUAUUCUCAAACUUUAAAUCGGUAAGAAGCGCGACUUGCUUAAUUGAAGCCGCGCAACCAAUGUGAGUUCCAAGUGGGCCAUUUUUGGUAAGCAGAACUGGCGAUGCGGGAUGAACCGAACGCUCGG
RNAcentral lists this ribosomal RNA (957 nucleotides) under Sycon ciliatum. RNAcentral describes it as "eukaryotic LSU rRNA". It matches the Rfam family "Eukaryotic large subunit ribosomal RNA", at positions 428 to 1179 of the family's 3401-position model. Lineage: Eukaryota; Metazoa; Porifera; Calcarea; Leucosolenida; Sycettidae. The record is from RNAcentral.